This 497-nucleotide ribosomal RNA is filed under the name uncultured bacterium. RNAcentral describes it as "partial 16S ribosomal RNA". It matches the Rfam family "Bacterial small subunit ribosomal RNA", at positions 28 to 507 of the family's 1533-position model. The record is from RNAcentral.
GAUGAACGCUGGCGGCGUGCCUAAUACAUGCAAGUCGAGCGAACGGACGAGAAGCUUGCUUUUCUGAUGUUAGCGGCGGACGGGUGAGUAACACGUGGAUAACCUACCUAUAAGACUGGGAUAACUUCGGGAAACCGGAGCUAAUACCGGAUAAUAUUUUGAACCUCAUGGUUCAAAAGUGAAAGACGGUCUUGCUGUCACUUAUAGAUGGAUCCGCGCUGCAUUAUCUAGUUGGUAAGGUAACGGCUUACCAAGGCAACGAUGCAUAGCCGACCUGAGAGGGUGAUCGGCCACACUGGAACUGAGACACGGUCCAGACUCCUAAGGGAGGCAGCAGUAGGGAAUCUUGCGCAAUGGGAGAAAGCCUGACGGAGAAAAGCCGCGUGAGUGAUGAAGGUCUUAGGAUCGUAAAAAUCUGUUAUUAGGGAAGAACAUAUGUGUAAGUAACUGUGCACAUCUUGACGGUACCUAAUCAGAAAGCCACGGCUAACUACGUG